AGAAGAGACAGAGGUGGUGCCUUCAGUGGUGGCCUGCUGGGCUGUGCCUGCCCCUCUGGGAGCCUCCUGCUGUCCCCAUCAUGGCCAGCGCUUACCACUGGGAGGCCCGGCGCAGGCAGAUGGCUUUGGACCGGAGGAAGUGGUUGAUGACCCAGCAGAAGCAGCAACAAGAGCAGGAGUCACGGCCUCCGUCUGCACAACAGCAACCAACUUCACAGCUACCGGCACGGUCACAGCCCCCAGCACAGUCACAGCCCCCACCACAGCCCACCCAACAAAAUGCCCAAGGCCCACUGCCUCAGUAUACCUUCAAGCAUGUUCUACAGGAUUCCCAAAGACAAGGUACCCCACUUGGCUCAGAAGAGACCCAACCAACUGAAGGGCAAGCCAACUACCUUAAUGACAGAGUGCAAGAAGCAAGGAGAAUCCCUCCAGGACUGGCAGGUUUCAGGAACACGCACCAGUCUAGCCCAGACAGACAUACCAGGUACCCGCGACUCACGCAAUGUCAUGAGGACUGAAGGUGGCUGGUGAAAGUCCUGGAAAUCACCAAAGCUCAGGCAGCGAGCGCCUGGCUCAUGGCAGGCCAGGAAAGCAGGAGGGAGAGUCUGAAAGACACGACACACAACGUCCACGAAUUACAUACAGCAGUGGUGAUGCAGAGAGCCCAAGACCACUGGCAGUCAGCAGAAUCCAACACGCCACCACGCCUUCUCCCCACCCAGCAACAUCUCCACCCCCAGGCCACUGCUCUGAGCCAUUCUAGAAGAGGGUAGUAGGGAAUAAAAUGAUUCCACGUGGAGAGAAUG
Molecule: RNA transcript, 809 nt
Organism: Talpa occidentalis (Iberian mole)
Lineage: Eukaryota; Metazoa; Chordata; Mammalia; Eulipotyphla; Talpidae
Gene: CCDC200
Gene name: coiled-coil domain containing 200
Exons: 5
Source: RefSeq, a predicted model, not a curated record